UCGCACUAGUCGGGGAGAUAGCGGUGCCCUCUGCCUGCAAUCCGCUAUAGCAGGGAUGAAUUCCCACACCCGGGCGUGUUUGAAUAUUGUCUGUCCUGCGUAAGCGGUGUUGAGAAACCGGUCUUGCGCAACGGGAUCCCGUGAACCAUGUCAGGUGGGGAACCAAGCAGCAUU
RNAcentral lists this signal recognition particle RNA (174 nucleotides) under Eubacteriales bacterium. RNAcentral describes it as "partial signal recognition particle sRNA large type". It matches the Rfam family "Bacterial large signal recognition particle RNA", at positions 1 to 171 of the family's 256-position model. From Rfam's summary of the family: The signal recognition particle (SRP) is a universally conserved ribonucleoprotein involved in the co-translational targeting of proteins to membranes. Archaeal SRP consists of a 7S RNA and homologues of the eukaryotic SRP19 and SRP54 proteins. The record is from RNAcentral. Lineage: Bacteria; Bacillati; Bacillota; Clostridia; Eubacteriales.